RNAcentral lists this ribosomal RNA (846 nucleotides) under uncultured bacterium. RNAcentral describes it as "bacterial SSU rRNA". It matches the Rfam family "Bacterial small subunit ribosomal RNA", at positions 471 to 1319 of the family's 1533-position model. The record is from RNAcentral.
GACGGUAGCCAAGGAGGAAGCCCCGGCUAACUACGUGCCAGCAGCCGCGGUAAUACGUAGGGGGCGAGCGUUGUCCGGAUUUACUGGGCGUAAAGGGUGAGUAGGCGGUAAUAUGUGUCAGAUGUAAAAGGCUAAAGCUUAACCAUAGUUAGCAUUUGAAACUGUAUUACUUGAGUGCAGGAGAGGUAAGUGGAAUUCCUAGUGUAGCGGUGAAAUGCGUAGAUAUUAGGAGGAACACCAGUGGCGAAGGCGACUUACUGGACUGUAACUGACGCUGAGUCACGAAAGCGUGGGUAGCAAACAGGAUUAGAUACCCUGGUAGUCCACGCUGUAAACGAUGAGUGCUAGGUGUUGGGUAGCGAUACUCAGUGCCGAAGUAAACACAAUAAGCACUCCGCCUGGGGAGUACGGUCGCAAGACUGAAACUCAAAGGAAUUGACGGGGACCCGCACAAGCAGCGGAGCAUGUGGUUUAAUUCGAAGCAACGCGAAGAACCUUACCAAGGCUUGACAUCCCCUUGACCGGCACAGAGAUGUGCCCUCUCCUUCGGGAGCAAGGGUGACAGGUGGUGCAUGGUUGUCGUCAGCUCGUGUCGUGAGAUGUUGGGUUAAGUCCCGCAACGAGCGCAACCCUUAUCAUUAGUUGCCAGCAUUUAAGGUGGGCACUCUAAUGAGACUGCCGAUGAUAAAUCGGAGGAAGGUGGGGAUGACGUCAAAUCAUCAUGCCCCUUAUGUCUUGGGCUACACACGUGCUACAAUGGUCGGUACAAAGGGCAGCGAAGGAGCGAUCUGGAGCAAAUCCCAAUAAACCGAUCUCAGUUCGGAUUGUAGGCUGCAACUCGCCUAC